CCUUUCUAAGAGACUUCUCUUAAGUGGUCCCGACGCAAAAAAGAACAUACAAGACCGACUCUUUCGACCCCGCCGCUAUCGUAGAUACGUUCUAUUACAUCGAUAAGAAUGAGUAGUGGCCUUCGCGGCCGCGACUUAUAUGUUCUUUAUGUCUUUCCCUCACUCACGUUUUCUCAAGGAGGAGGACGGUGGAAGUCUGAUCAGUUGAGGAGAGAGGGAGAGAGGACUCUACAGGUCUGAAUGAUCGUGACGAGAGAACGU
Molecule: long non-coding RNA, 261 nt
Filed under: Amborella trichopoda
Lineage: Eukaryota; Viridiplantae; Streptophyta; Magnoliopsida; Amborellales; Amborellaceae
Description: long non-coding RNA (ATRI_LNC000212)
Source: RNAcentral